Lycium barbarum (goji berry) is the source of this 993-nucleotide long non-coding RNA. RefSeq lists it as uncharacterized. The record is from RefSeq and is a predicted model, not a curated record. The transcript is spliced from 2 exons. Lineage: Eukaryota; Viridiplantae; Streptophyta; Magnoliopsida; Solanales; Solanaceae.
UCCUCUCCUCUUUCCGCCUCCCCCACCUUUUCUCUUCUCCUUCCUCUCUCCUCCACCUCCCACGCUCCUACUUGUCUGCUCCCACUCUCCCCUGUCUCCCUCACGUUCCUCUCCACCACACCUAUCUCUGCACCUCCACACUCCCCUGUUCCCCACGUUCUCUGCCGCCUCCACACGCACCUGUCCCCCACGCCUUCGUCUUCUCUCAUACGCUCCUCUUUUUCUUCAAUACAGAUGAAACCUAUAUAUACAAGGCGAAUGGGAUCACUAUAGGGGGGGGGAUUUUGGAGUUUGGGGAAGGGACUGAGCGUCGUUUUAGAGAAAGAGGGGAUUGUUUGGAGAAAGCGGGGAUUGGGAGUAUUUUGAGGGAUUUUCAAAUUUUUGAAAAAAAAAAGGGAUUCAAGGUUUGGAGGGGUUAUUUUUAGUGUUUAGGGGAUUAAAGAUCGUUUUAGAACGAGGGGAUUUUAGGAGUAAAACCUAACAAAAACAUAUCAAAAACAGACGAAAAUCCCAUAGGGGAGGAAGAUUUUCUCUCAUAACAGUCUUGAGCUCCUCUUCUGGUUUUGAACUUUUUUCAAAUCAAAAAUAUUUUUUGUUAUGAGAUUUGUGUUGAAAAAUUAAGUUUUCACAAUUCGACCAACUUUCGUCGCUGUUCGGCAAAAGGACUUUAAUUACGACAAAGGUAUUUUAGUUUUGAUUCAAGUUUCGAAUCUGUCGAUACGAGAGUAGAUUCGAGGCCUCGAUGCCCCGUUCACUGUACCCAACAAAGGUAUGGAUUUGCAUUGGAAGUACAACAAACGACGAAGAUUAAGGACAUCACAAAUGGAGCUAGGAGUUAGACAUAGAAAAUUGUAUUUACUUUACUUAGACGUAAGAAACACUCCAUGUUGUAUUCAUUUGACAUGUAAUAAAUAUUACACAACUUUUGUACUUUAUUUUGGGGAAAUAGAAUUUGUUUAAUUAAUCAAAGCAACGGGAUGACGUAUUAUGACA